UACGUAGGGUGCAAGCGUUAAUCGGAAUUACUGGGCGUAAAGCGUGCGCAGGCGGUUAUGCAAGACAGAUGUGAAAUCCCCGGGCUCAACCUGGGAACUGCAUUUGUGACUGCAUGGCUGGAGUGCGGCAGAGGGGGAUGGAAUUCCGCGUGUAGCAGUGAAAUGCGUAGAGAUGCGGAGGAACACCGAUGGCGAAGGCAGCCCCCUGGGCUAACACUGACGCUCAGGCACGAAAGCGUGGGGAGCAAACAGG
Molecule: ribosomal RNA, 253 nt
Filed under: uncultured bacterium
Lineage: Bacteria
Description: partial 16S ribosomal RNA
Rfam family: Bacterial small subunit ribosomal RNA
Source: RNAcentral